RNAcentral lists this ribosomal RNA (592 nucleotides) under Trichoderma longibrachiatum. RNAcentral describes it as "eukaryotic LSU rRNA". The stretch from base 213 to 366 matches the Rfam family "5.8S ribosomal RNA". The record is from RNAcentral. Lineage: Eukaryota; Fungi; Ascomycota; Sordariomycetes; Hypocreales; Hypocreaceae.
CUCCCAAACCCCAAUGUGAACGUUACCAAUCUGUUGCCUCGGCGGGAUUCUCUUGCCCCGGGCGCGUCGCAGCCCCGGAUCCCAUGGCGCCCGCCGGAGGACCAACUCCAAACUCUUUUUUUCUCUCCGUCGCGGCUCCCGUCGCGGCUCUGUUUUAUUUUUGCUCUGAGCCUUUCUCGGCGACCCUAGCGGGCGUCUCGAAAAUGAAUCAAAACUUUCAACAACGGAUCUCUUGGUUCUGGCAUCGAUGAAGAACGCAGCGAAAUGCGAUAAGUAAUGUGAAUUGCAGAAUUCAGUGAAUCAUCGAAUCUUUGAACGCACAUUGCGCCCGCCAGUAUUCUGGCGGGCAUGCCUGUCCGAGCGUCAUUUCAACCCUCGAACCCCUCCGGGGGGUCGGCGUUGGGGAUCGGCCCCUCACCGGGCCGCCCCCGAAAUACAGUGGCGGUCUCGCCGCAGCCUCUCCUGCGCAGUAGUUUGCACACUCGCACCGGGAGCGCGGCGCGGCCACAGCCGUAAAACACCCCAAACUUCUGAAAUGUUGACCUCGGAUCAGGUAGGAAUACCCGCUGAACUUAAGCAUAUCAAUAAGCGG